This 253-nucleotide ribosomal RNA is filed under the name uncultured Blautia sp. RNAcentral's name for it is "partial 16S ribosomal RNA". It matches the Rfam family "Bacterial small subunit ribosomal RNA", at positions 524 to 776 of the family's 1533-position model. The record is from RNAcentral. Lineage: Bacteria; Bacillati; Bacillota; Clostridia; Lachnospirales; Lachnospiraceae.
UACGUAGGGGGCAAGCGUUAUCCGGAAUUACUGGGUGUAAAGGGGGCGUAGACGGAAUUGCAAGUCUGAUGUGAAAAUCCGGGGCCCAACCCCGGAACUGCAUUGGAAACUGUAUUUCUAGAGUGUCGGAGAGGCAAGUGGAAUUCCUGGUGUAGCGGUGAAAUGCGUAGAUAUCAGGAGGAACACCGGUGGCGAAGGCGGUUUACUGGACCACAACUGACGCUGAGACACGAAAGCGUGGGGAGCAAACAGG